Molecule: long non-coding RNA, 403 nt
Organism: Anoplopoma fimbria (sablefish)
Lineage: Eukaryota; Metazoa; Chordata; Actinopteri; Perciformes; Anoplopomatidae
Exons: 3
Source: RefSeq, a predicted model, not a curated record
AGCCUUGUCUUUUAUUUAACACAUAAAGCUGUAACCCUGUCUGUAGGCCAUGUCCAUCUCUGAGAACUGGUAUGCCAUUAAAGACCACGGCACCAACUACUGCAACCUCUACAACCUCAUUGAAGGAAGUGGUCUAACUGAAGCCAGAGGUUAUAAAGAGGUCACCAGUGACUUCCUGUGUACCCAACGAUCCACUGCUAACUGCUCCAUCUACUGACCAAAGACCAUCAAACGGCUCCAGCAAUACAGCUUGGUCUCCAGCAGCAUGGUGUCAGUGUUGGAUCCCAGCGGGGAGCAGAGGAGCAGCGUGGUGAAGCUCUUCUCCUGGAGGAGGAGGAGACGCUGCUGCUGGCAGCGGAGCUCUCCUCCACCUGCUGGAGCUCCGACUGCUGGUUGAAGGCUG